Molecule: ribosomal RNA, 865 nt
Filed under: uncultured organism
Description: bacterial SSU rRNA
Rfam family: Bacterial small subunit ribosomal RNA
Source: RNAcentral
UGCAAGUCGAACGCAACCUUCGGGUUGAGUGGCGGACGGGUGAGUAACGCGUGAGAAUCUGCCUUGGGGUCGGGGACAACCACUGGAAACGGUGGCUAAUACCGGAUAAGCCUUUGGGUAAAAAAUUUAUUGCCCCAAGAGGAGCUCGCGUCUGAUUAGCUAGUUGGUGAGGUAAAAGCUCACCAAGGCAGCGAUCAGUAGCUGGUCUGAGAGGACGAUCAGCCACACUGGGACUGAGACACGGCCCAGACUCCUACGGGAGGCAGCAGUGGGGAAUUUUCCGCAAUGGGCGAAAGCCUGACGGAGCAAGACCGCGUGAGGGAGGAAGGCUCUUGGGUUGUAAACCUCUUUUCUCAGGGAAGAAGCUCUGACGGUACCUGAGGAAUCAGCCUCGGCUAACUCCGUGCCAGCAGCCGCGGUAAUACGGAGGAGGCAAGCGUUAUCCGGAAUUAUUGGGCGUAAAGCGUCCGCAGGUGGCGAUUCAAGUCUGCUGUCAAAGCACGGGGCUUAACUCCGUUAAGGCAGUGGAAACUGAAUAGCUAGAGUGCCGUAGGGGUAGAAGGGAAUUCCCGGUGUAGCGGUGAAAUGCGUAGAGAUCGGGAAGAACAUCGGUGGCGAAAGCGCUCUACUGGACGGCAACUGACACUCAGGGACGAAAGCUAGGGGAGCGAAUGGGAUUAGAUACCCCAGUAGUCCUAGCUGUAAACGAUGGAUACUAGGUGUAGCUUGUAUCGACCCGAGCUGUGCCGAAGCUAACGCGUUAAGUAUCCCGCCUGGGGAGUACGCACGCAAGUGUGAAACUCGAAGGAAUCGACGGGGGCCCGCACAAGCGGUGGAGUAUGUGGAAUAAUUCGAUGCAACGCGA